AUUGAACGCUGGCGGCAUGCCUUACACAUGCGAGUCGAACGGUAGCAGGUCUUCGGAUGCUGACGAGUGGCGAACGGGUGAGUAAUACAUCGGAACGUGCCCGAUCGUGGGGGAUAACGCAGCGAAAGCUGUGCUAAUACCGCAUACGAUCUACGGAUGAAAGCGGGGGAUCUUCGGACCUCGCGCGGACGGAGCGGCCGAUGGCAGAUUAGGUAGUUGGUGGGGUAAAGGCUCACCAAGCCUGCGAUCUGUAGCUGGUCUGAGAGGACGACCAGCCACACUGGGACUGAGCCACGGCCCAGACUCCUACGGGAGGCAGCAGUGGGGAAUUUUGGACAAUGGGCGCAAGCCUGAUCCAGCCAUGCCGCGUGCAGGAUGAAGGCCUUCGGGUUGUAAACUGCUUUUGUACGGAACGAAAAGUCUCUUUUUAAUAAAGAGGGAUCAUGACGGUACCGUAAGAAUAAGCACCGGCUAACUACGUGCCAGCAGCCGCCGUAA
This 498-nucleotide ribosomal RNA is filed under the name uncultured bacterium. RNAcentral describes it as "partial 16S ribosomal RNA". It matches the Rfam family "Bacterial small subunit ribosomal RNA", at positions 30 to 523 of the family's 1533-position model. The record is from RNAcentral.